UCUGCACAUGAGAAGAGCUGAGAAGACUAUCCUGGUUAUAGGGCUGAGGGAACUUUGAAGAUGAAGCUAUCCCUCAAUGUCUUCUUCUUUGGAUGGUGUUUGGCCAGGCAGUGUUGGAUUUCUAGAGGUCAAAUUCCUUCCACACCUUUGCUAUCUACCAACAUCAGUGGGAUGGCUGCUUUGGGAGAAGAUAUCACCUUCUUCUGCAGAAGCCAGG
Non-coding RNA from Pantherophis guttatus, 217 nucleotides. Lineage: Eukaryota; Metazoa; Chordata; Lepidosauria; Squamata; Colubridae. The record is from RefSeq and is a predicted model, not a curated record.